RNAcentral lists this ribosomal RNA (1548 nucleotides) under Enterococcus faecium. RNAcentral describes it as "bacterial SSU rRNA". It matches the Rfam family "Bacterial small subunit ribosomal RNA". Lineage: Bacteria; Bacillati; Bacillota; Bacilli; Lactobacillales; Enterococcaceae. The record is from RNAcentral.
AGAGUUUGAUCCUGGCUCAGGACGAACGCUGGCGGCGUGCCUAAUACAUGCAAGUCGAACGCUUCUUUUUCCACCGGAGCUUGCUCCACCGGAAAAAGAAGAGUGGCGAACGGGUGAGUAACACGUGGGUAACCUGCCCAUCAGAAGGGGAUAACACUUGGAAACAGGUGCUAAUACCGUAUAACAAUCGAAACCGCAUGGUUUUGAUUUGAAAGGCGCUUUCGGGUGUCGCUGAUGGAUGGACCCGCGGUGCAUUAGCUAGUUGGUGAGGUAACGGCUCACCAAGGCCACGAUGCAUAGCCGACCUGAGAGGGUGAUCGGCCACAUUGGGACUGAGACACGGCCCAAACUCCUACGGGAGGCAGCAGUAGGGAAUCUUCGGCAAUGGACGAAAGUCUGACCGAGCAACGCCGCGUGAGUGAAGAAGGUUUUCGGAUCGUAAAACUCUGUUGUUAGAGAAGAACAAGGAUGAGAGUAACUGUUCAUCCCUUGACGGUAUCUAACCAGAAAGCCACGGCUAACUACGUGCCAGCAGCCGCGGUAAUACGUAGGUGGCAAGCGUUGUCCGGAUUUAUUGGGCGUAAAGCGAGCGCAGGCGGUUUCUUAAGUCUGAUGUGAAAGCCCCCGGCUCAACCGGGGAGGGUCAUUGGAAACUGGGAGACUUGAGUGCAGAAGAGGAGAGUGGAAUUCCAUGUGUAGCGGUGAAAUGCGUAGAUAUAUGGAGGAACACCAGUGGCGAAGGCGGCUCUCUGGUCUGUAACUGACGCUGAGGCUCGAAAGCGUGGGGAGCAAACAGGAUUAGAUACCCUGGUAGUCCACGCCGUAAACGAUGAGUGCUAAGUGUUGGAGGGUUUCCGCCCUUCAGUGCUGCAGCUAACGCAUUAAGCACUCCGCCUGGGGAGUACGACCGCAAGGUUGAAACUCAAAGGAAUUGACGGGGGCCCGCACAAGCGGUGGAGCAUGUGGUUUAAUUCGAAGCAACGCGAAGAACCUUACCAGGUCUUGACAUCCUUUGACCACUCUAGAGAUAGAGCUUCCCCUUCGGGGGCAAAGUGACAGGUGGUGCAUGGUUGUCGUCAGCUCGUGUCGUGAGAUGUUGGGUUAAGUCCCGCAACGAGCGCAACCCUUAUUGUUAGUUGCCAUCAUUCAGUUGGGCACUCUAGCAAGACUGCCGGUGACAAACCGGAGGAAGGUGGGGAUGACGUCAAAUCAUCAUGCCCCUUAUGACCUGGGCUACACACGUGCUACAAUGGGAAGUACAACGAGUCGCGAAGUCGCGAGGCUAAGCUAAUCUCUUAAAGCUUCUCUCAGUUCGGAUUGCAGGCUGCAACUCGCCUGCAUGAAGCCGGAAUCGCUAGUAAUCGCGGAUCAGCACGCCGCGGUGAAUACGUUCCCGGGCCUUGUACACACCGCCCGUCACACCACGAGAGUUUGUAACACCCGAAGUCGGUGAGGUAACCUUUUGGAGCCAGCCGCCUAAGGUGGGAUAGAUGAUUGGGGUGAAGUCGUAACAAGGUAGCCGUAUCGGAAGGUGCGGCUGGAUCACCU